AUGGGGUGGAGCUGGAUCAUUCUUUUCCUGAUGGCAGCAGCUACAGGUGUCCACUCCCAGGUCCAGCUGCAGCAGUCUGGGGCUGAGGUGGGGAGACCUGGGUCCUCAGUGAAGUUGUCCUGCAAGGCUUCUGGCUACACCUUCACCAGCUACAAUAUGCACUGGGUGAAGCAGAGGUCUGGACAGGGGCUGGAGUGGAUUGGAAGGAUUUAUCCUGAAUAUGGCAGUACUAUCUACCAUCAGAAGUUCCAGGGCAAGGCCACACUGACUGCAGACAAAUCCUCCAGCACAGUCUCCAUGGAGCUCAGCAGCCUGACCUCUGAGGACACAGCUGUCUAUUACUGUGCGAGACACACAGUGCUGCAACCACAUCCUGAGUGUGUCAGAAACCCUGGAGGAGCAGGAAGCUGCGCUGGGACUGAGAAGACAGAGAAGAUUAGCCUGGAGACUUCAUCAGAAGUAAUCAUCUUGAGCAUUCAUUUUUAUGCUUCUCUCCACAUCCUACAUUGCCCUUGCCAAUGUUGUAAAGGGACAUUUUUGAAUAAAGUGAUGUUGAUUUAG
This is a non-coding RNA of Acomys russatus (golden spiny mouse), 561 nucleotides long. NCBI's taxonomy places the organism in Eukaryota, Metazoa, Chordata, Mammalia, Rodentia, Muridae. The record is from the annotation of a RefSeq genome assembly.